UUGACCGCUACUACUUGGGUCGAGGGGAUUGUCGGGUUGGAGCGCGGCGUCCGACCCCACCUCACCCGGCCCGAUGUAGUGCAGCUCGUGGAGUGCAGCAGCAGCAGCUCCUCGCCCGUGGCCCCGUCGGUCGCUCGGCAGCCCGGCCAGC
Molecule: long non-coding RNA, 151 nt
Organism: Amblyraja radiata (thorny skate)
Lineage: Eukaryota; Metazoa; Chordata; Chondrichthyes; Rajiformes; Rajidae
Exons: 3
Source: RefSeq, a predicted model, not a curated record